This is a small nucleolar RNA of Theobroma cacao (cacao), 107 nucleotides long. It matches the Rfam family "Plant small nucleolar RNA R71". From Rfam's summary of the family: R71 is a member of the C/D box family of snoRNAs containing the C (UGAUGA) and D (CUGA) box motifs. Multiple nearly identical copies of this snoRNA have been identified in Arabidopsis, and it is thought to function as a 2'-O-ribose methylation guide for 18S ribosomal RNA. Lineage: Eukaryota; Viridiplantae; Streptophyta; Magnoliopsida; Malvales; Malvaceae. The record is from Rfam.
AAUCCAUGUUGAGGACAUCUUCUCAUCAAAUCCUUAUACCUUUCCCAAGCCUCAUAUAAUGAUUCAAAAUCAAAUUGCAUGAAAGAAGUGAUAUCAUUUCGCAUAUU